CCUACGGGAGGCAGCAGUGGGGGAUAUUGCACAAUGGGGGAAACCCUGAUGCAGCGACGCCGCGUGGGCGACGAAGUCUUUCGGUAUGUAAAGCCCUUUCAGCAGGGAAGAAGAAAUGACGGUACCUGAGUAAGAAGCACUGGCUAAAUACGUGCCAGCAGCCGCGUGCAGACGGAGGGGGCAAGCGUUAUCCGGAUUUACUGGGUGUAAGGGGAGCGCAGGCGGCACGGCAAGCCUGAGGGGAAAGCCCGCGGCCCAACCGCGGGACUGCAUUGGGAACUACCGGGCUGGAGUGCCGGAGAGGUAGGCGGAAUGCGUAGUGUAGCGGUGAAAUGCGUAGAUAUUA
Molecule: ribosomal RNA, 346 nt
Filed under: uncultured bacterium
Lineage: Bacteria
Description: partial 16S ribosomal RNA
Rfam family: Bacterial small subunit ribosomal RNA
Source: RNAcentral